This 1369-nucleotide ribosomal RNA is filed under the name uncultured bacterium. Its description in RNAcentral is "bacterial SSU rRNA". It matches the Rfam family "Bacterial small subunit ribosomal RNA". The record is from RNAcentral.
AGAGUUUGAUCCUGGCUCAGAACGAACGCUGGCGGCGUGGAUAAGACAUGCAAGUCGAACGAGAGAAUUGCUAGCUUGCUAAUAAUUCUCUAGUGGCGCACGGGUGAGUAACACGUGAGUAACCUGCCCCCGAGAGCGGGAUAGCCCUGGGAAACUGGGAUUAAUACCGCAUAGUAUCGAAAGAUUAGGGCAGCAAUGCGCUUGGGGAUGGGCUCGCGGCCUAUUAGUUAGUUGGUGAGGUAACGGCUCACCAAGGCGAUGACGGGUAGCCGGUCUGAGAGGAUGUCCGGCCACACUGGAACUGAGACACGGUCCAGACACCUACGGGUGGCAGCAGUCGAGAAUCAUUCACAAUGGGGGAAACCCUGAUGGUGCGACGCCGCGUGGGGGAAUGAAGGUCUUCGGAUUGUAAACCCCUGUCAUGUGGGAGCAAAUUAAAAAGAUAGUACCACAAGAGGAAGAGACGGCUAACUCUGUGCCAGCAGCCGCGGUAAUACAGAGGUCUCAAGCGUUGUUCGGAAUCACUGGGCGUAAAGCGUGCGUAGGCUGUUUCGUAAGUCGUGUGUGAAAGGCGCGGGCUCAACCCGCGGACGGCACAUGAUACUGCGAGACUAGAGUAAUGGAGGGGGAACCGGAAUUCUCGGUGUAGCAGUGAAAUGCGUAGAUAUCGAGAGGAACACUCGUGGCGAAGGCGGGUUCCUGGACAUUAACUGACGCUGAGGCACGAAGGCCAGGGGAGCGAAAGGGAUUAGAUACCCCUGUAGUCCUGGCAGUAAACGGUGCACGCUUGGUGUGCGGGGAAUCGACCCCCUGCGUGCCGGAGCUAACGCGUUAAGCGUGCCGCCUGGGAGUACGGUCGCAAGAUUAAAACUCAAAGAAAUUGACGGGGACCCGCACAAGCGGUGGAGUAUGUGGCUUAAUUCGAUGCAACGCGAAGAACCUUACCUGGGCUUGACAUGUAAUGAACAACAUGUGAAAGCAUGCGACUCUUCGGAGGCGUUACACAGGUGCUGCAUGGCCGUCGUCAGCUCGUGUCGUGAGAUGUUUGGUUAAGUCCAGCAACGAGCGCAACCCCUGUUGCCAGUUACCAGCACGUGAAGGUGGGGACUCUGGCGAGACUGCCCAGAUCAACUGGGAGGAAGGUGGGGACGACGUCAGGUCAGUAUGGCCCUUAUGCCCAGGGCUGCACACGUACUACAAUGCCCAGUACAGAGGGGGCCGAAGCCGCGAGGCGGAGGAAAUCCUAAAAACUGGGCCCAGUUCGGACUGUAGGCUGCAACCCGCCUACACGAAGCCGGAAUCGCUAGUAAUGGCGCAUCAGCUACGGCGCCGUGAAUACGUUCCCGGGUCUUGCACUCACCGCCCGUCA